GAUGAACGCUAGCGGGAGGCCUAAUACAUGCAAGUCGAGCGGUAGAGUGACUUCGGUUGCUUGAGAGCGGCGAACGGGUGAGUAACGCGUACACAAUCUACCUUUAAGAGGGGAAUAGCCCUGGGAAACUGGGAUUAAUGCCCCAUGGCAUCACGAAGUGGCAUCGCUUUGUGAUUAAAGCUGAGGUGCUUAGAGAUGAGUGUGCGUCUGAUUAGCUAGUUGGUGCGGUAACGGCGCACCAAGGCGACGAUCAGUAGGGGGCGUGAGAGCGUGGACCCCCACACGGGUACUGAGACACGGACCCGACUCCUACGGGAGGCAGCAGUAAGGAAUAUUGGUCAAUGGAGGAAACUCUGAACCAGCCAUCCCGCGUGCAGGAAGAAUGCCCUAUGGGUUGUAAACUGCUUUUAUCUGGGAAGAAAAGUCGGGAUUUAUCCUGAUCUGACGGUACCAGAGGAAUAAGCACCGGCUAACUCCGUGCCAGCAGCCG
RNAcentral lists this ribosomal RNA (490 nucleotides) under uncultured bacterium. Its description in RNAcentral is "bacterial SSU rRNA". It matches the Rfam family "Bacterial small subunit ribosomal RNA", at positions 28 to 517 of the family's 1533-position model. The record is from RNAcentral.